GACGAACGCUGGCGGCGUGCUUAACACAUGCAAGUCGAACGGAAAGGCCCCUUUGGGGGUACUCGAGUGGCGAACGGGUGCGUAAGACGUGAGUAACCUGCCGUUGACUUCGGGUUAACUUCAGGAAACUGGGGCUAAUACCGGUAAGGAAUCCUUGCUGCAUGGGGGGGGUUGGAAAGCUUCGGCGGUUUUGGAUGGACUCGCGGCUUAUCAGCUUGUUGGUGGGGUAGUGGCUUACCAAGGCUGUGACGGGUCGCCGGCCUGAGAGGGCGACCGGCCACAUUGGGACUGAGAUACGGCCCAGACUCCAACGGGAGGCAGCAGUGGGGAAUAUUGCACAAUGGGCGGAAGUCUGAUGCAGAAACGCCGCGUGCGGGAUGACGGCCUUCGGGGUGUAAACCGCUUUCAGCAGGGGCGAAGCUUUUGUGACGGUACCUGCAGAAGAAGCACCGGCUAACUACGUG
RNAcentral lists this ribosomal RNA (464 nucleotides) under uncultured bacterium. RNAcentral describes it as "partial 16S ribosomal RNA". It matches the Rfam family "Bacterial small subunit ribosomal RNA", at positions 28 to 507 of the family's 1533-position model. The record is from RNAcentral.